Molecule: ribosomal RNA, 468 nt
Filed under: uncultured bacterium
Lineage: Bacteria
Description: partial 16S ribosomal RNA
Rfam family: Bacterial small subunit ribosomal RNA
Source: RNAcentral
GACGAACGCUGGCGGCGUGCUUAACACAUGCAAGUCGAACGGUGAAGCUCCAGCUUGCUGGAGUGGAUCAGUGGCGAACGGGUGAGUAACACGUGAGCAACCUGCCCCUGACUCUGGAAUAAGCGCUGGAAACGGCGUCUAAUACUGGAUACGAGAAGGGUCCGCAUGGGCACUUUCUGGAAAGUUUUUCGGUUGGGGAUGGGCUCGCGGCCUAUCAGCUUGUUGGUGAGGUAAUGGCUCACCAAGGCGACGACGGGUAGCCGGCCUGAGAGGGCGACCGGUCACACUGGGACUGAGACACGGCCCAGACUCCUACGGGAGGCAGCAGUGGGGAAUAUUGCACAAUGGGCGAAAGCCUGAUGCAGCGACGCCGCGUGAGGGAUGACGGCCUUCGGGUUGUAAACCUCUUUCAGCAGGGAAGAAGCGAAAGUGACGGUACCUGCAGAAGAAGCACCGGCUAACUACGUG